AUCUUCUCAUGAGGUGAUAAACAAUCCUCUUCUGAAGCUCAGACAGCACAACAUCAGCAGACAUCUCAGAGUUGUGAUGGAUGUUUCUUCUCUUCAGCUCAACACAAGAUACAGACGGGCUGCAGAAAUGAAAUAGCAUGGAGAAAACUAUACAAACCAACAGCACAGAGAGAAAAAUGGAGGCCAGAAAUGAAACACAAACCAGUGAAACACAAGAGAAAAGCAGACAGAGACUAGUUAGACGAGACAGUAUGGGACAGCUAAAACCAAACUUCUCAGAUGAUCCAGACGGGCCUGUAAAGUUUCAAUCUGAUGUCAAAAGCUCUUCAGCAUCAUCAACAUCAGUGUCCUCCGGAUAGCAGCGGCUGAAGACCUGAACAUCAUCAUCAUCAUCAUCAUCAUGAUGGCAGGCUCCAUCACUCCAGACUACAGUGUGUUCAGCUCCUGGACUCUUUCAGGGCUAGAGCCACUGCCCCUCUGCCCUCAUCGGCUGAGCUUUCUCACCAUCAGAGACCUGCGCUGGAUGGAUUUUUCUGUCCCGCUCCCGCCCGCAAAAGCCAGCAUAAAAGCAACCUAGAUAGAUUUUUUUUCAGUGCAUCCAUAAAUGUACAUUAAAUAGCUCCGUAACAUCUCCUAAGUUCCACAGCAUUCCAGUAUAAACGCUCCAGAUAAAAUAUUGUUAUUUAGGCCAAGCAUCAACAUUCACAAAGCCCUGUGACAGAAGCAGCACAACAUCUCUCUGUUUCUCCAGAUUUACAGUAGGACUAAAUGAAGAGAAUCACAUUAUGGUGAUAACAUUAUGACAGCUUAAAAUGUUAUCUGAUCUAAUAAAAAAAAUAUAUAU
Sinocyclocheilus grahami is the source of this 844-nucleotide long non-coding RNA. RefSeq lists it as uncharacterized. The record is from RefSeq and is a predicted model, not a curated record. NCBI's taxonomy places the organism in Eukaryota, Metazoa, Chordata, Actinopteri, Cypriniformes, Cyprinidae. The transcript has 3 exons.